AUUGAACGCUGGCGGCAUGCCUUACACGUGCAAGUCGAACGGCAGCACGGGUGCUUGCACCUGGUGGCGAGUGGCGAACGGGUGAGUAAUACAUCGGAACAUGUCCUGUAGUGGGGGAUAGCCCGGCGAAAGCCGGAUUAAUACCGCAUACGAUCCACGGAUGAAAGCGGGGGACCUUCGGGCCUCGCGCUAUAGGGUUGGCCGAUGGCUGAUUAGCUAGUUGGUGGGGUAAAGGCCUACCAAGGCGACGAUCAGUAGCUGGUCUGAGAGGACGACCAGCCACACUGGGACUGAGACACGGCCCAGACUCCUACGGGAGGCAGCAGUGUGGAAUUUUGGACAAUGGGCGAAAGCCUGAUCCAGCAAUGCCGCGUGUGUGAAGAAGGCCUUCGGGUUGUAAAGCACUUUUGUCCGGAAAGAAAUCCUUGACUCUAAUACAGUCGGGGGAUGACGGUACCGGAAGAAUAAGCACCGGCUAACUACGUG
This 486-nucleotide ribosomal RNA is filed under the name uncultured bacterium. RNAcentral describes it as "partial 16S ribosomal RNA". It matches the Rfam family "Bacterial small subunit ribosomal RNA", at positions 30 to 507 of the family's 1533-position model. The record is from RNAcentral.